Molecule: long non-coding RNA, 2650 nt
Organism: Equus caballus (horse)
Lineage: Eukaryota; Metazoa; Chordata; Mammalia; Perissodactyla; Equidae
Source: Ensembl
AGAAAACCCAUGAAAAGCCAUGAAAGGACAGAACAGACACAUCUAGUCCAACCUGGAGGCUCAAGAAAGAGUAAAAUGAAUUCUCUUGAGAAGUCUGGGAAGAAUAAGCAAUGAAAGAUAGAAUUUCCAUGGUCCUCAGAAAGUAAUAUCAUCCAGGCGAAGUAAUAUUUAUUACCCAACCAUCAUUUCUUCUGGAACACAUAUCAAAUAAGCUGUCCUGGGGGAGACAUGAGGCUGUAGGAAAAAGCAAAGAAAAAUCAAAUCGAUUUCUUAGACUGGGACAUGGAGACCACUUUCAGAGGCUUCAGAAGGUGAGAACAAAGCACUGACUUGUCCUCAGGAAAAACCAUAAGGUUGAUGGAUCCGAAUGACGCCUGUACAACUAAAGCCAGAGCAGGAAGGAAGUCCCUGGAAAGAGAAAUUUUAUUACUUCCUCACUUCAUAUUGAAAAAAUUGAGAAAGUACAACUUAUCUCAGCAGGCGCAGAAUAAUUGCCAAUUCUCCUCAGAUAGUAAAACCCAACUUAUUCAUCAAAAACAAGUAAGGCCAGGGCCAGCCUGGUGGUGUAGCAGGUUUUGCCUUUUGCCUUUGGAGGUGGUUCAAAUGGAAACAGCUGUAAUCAAUUAAGAUGCGGUGAUUUCAGAUAACCCACUCUCUUUCUUUACAUGGUGACUGGUUAUCCAACCAGGGGCUGGUGAUAAAAGUGUGCUUAAGAGAAAUAAAUUAGUAGCGGUAGAUUUGUCUGGAUAAGUUGAAGCCGGUAUCAGUCAUACCUGAUUUUGACUGCAUCUCAGCCAUAGGAAUAAAAAAUGAAGUUUUAUGAUAAAAUCAGUCAAUACACUUUUUUUCAUGAAAUAAACUAAAAAGUUACUGACAACACCCAAUCACUUGUCACAUUAGCCCAGAACCAUUUACUAUGAUACUUUUCACUAUAGGAAUGAUUGAUAGAAAAUCUCUAUCAUACACAAUAAUGUUCCAGACCUAGCAAUCCUUUUACAGCCUGUCAUUGUCCCCAGGAUCCUUUCCAAAUUUUUUUUAACAGGACUUACAAUGCUCUUUGUGACAAGAUGUAAUUGAAAGCGCUCAAGCUGUAAAGUCCGAUAGAUAGUGUUAUAAAUCCCAGUUCGUCUUUGCCAGUUGUGUGCUCUCAGGCAAAUUCCAUAAUGUGGAAUAGACUUGAACAUACUUCCCUGUUUUAAAGAUAGGAAUACUGGUACUUAUCUCAUAGAACUGUUUUGAGGAUUCAAGAGAUUGUACAUAAAGAGCCUAACAUCUCCCAACACAUAAUAGGUCUAACAAAAAUGUAGCUUUCCUUUUCUUUUUUAUUCCCCCUCAUCAAUAUAACAGCACAUGAGAAUGUUCAUAUUUGCUUCUGGUUUCUAAAUAUCGUGAUGUGAUUAUGGCUUGGAUUUGACUAAAACUAUGCUUACCUUCUGAAAAGGACCUGGUACCUUCAAAUACAAUUUCGGCCUUUCAGAGAUAGGUUGAAAUAACAAGGACUUUGGAGAAAUGCAACAAGACUGAACAACUGAUACAAAAACUUUUAUUAUUUUUUGAGUCUUUAAAGCACAAAACUCAUUUUUGAUGCAUUCUUUAAAAUCCACCACCAUAUUACACAUUUGUCCAUUGGCAUGUGAAAACAUUCUUCUGUCUCACCCCUUAGUUUCUGGGACCAUCAAAAAAUAAAAUAGAAUCUUAAAAAGCAAAGAGAAAAACAUAGUCAAAGACUGAUUUUCCUUCCUAUUUCAUUCAAGAAAGAAUUACUGAGUCCUGACUCAAUGCCAUGCGCUACUCAGGGAUGUGGGGAGGCAUCAAUGACCUCAGGGAGCUUACGUUCUAGUUGGGGAAGACAAACAUAAAUAACAAGUAAAUAUUAGUAUAUAACACAUUAAAAGGUGACAUAUGAAGACUAGCCUGGUGGUGUGGUGGUUAAGUUUGUGCACUCUGCUUCAGCAGCCCAGGGUUCAUGGGUUUGGAUCCCGGGCAUGGACCUACACACUGCUCAUCAAGCCAUGCUGUGCUGGCAGCAUCCCACAUACAAAAUACAGCUAACACAGAUGUUAGCUCAGGGCCAGUCUUCCUCAACAACAACAAAAGGUGACGAUACGAAAAGAAAACAAAGCAAGACAAGGAAGAUUAGAAGUGUAUGGACAAGGGGGAAGUGUAAUUUUAAAUAAAGUGGUCAAGGUAGGUAUCCAUGAGCAAAGAUUUGAAGGACUUGAGGAGAGAGCCAUGGAGAUUUUUGGGAGCAGGGCCAACUUAUCCAGUAGGCACAGCAGGCAUAGUGCUGAGGGACCACCAGACUUUUGGAAGCCUACAAAAAUAUUUGACUUGUUGUUAAAAUCAGAAGAAAAAAAAUGAACUCAAAGUUGAAGAAAAUGUUUAAAUUUUUUUGUUUUGAGGAAGAUUAGCCCUGAGCUAACAUCUGCCACCAAUCCUCCUCAUUUUUGCUGAGGAAGACUGGCUCUGAGCUAACAUCCGUACCCAUCUUCCUCUACUUUAUAUGUGGGACGCCUGCCACAGCAUGGUGCCUAGGUCCACAGCCAGGAUCCGAAUCAGCAAACCCCUAGCCACCAAAGCAGAACGUGUGAACUUAACCACUGUGCCACCAGGUCAGCCCCAAAAUAUUUAAAUUUUUAACACAAACUGG